Molecule: ribosomal RNA, 468 nt
Filed under: uncultured bacterium
Lineage: Bacteria
Description: partial 16S ribosomal RNA
Rfam family: Bacterial small subunit ribosomal RNA
Source: RNAcentral
GACGAACGCUGGCGGCGUGCUUAACACAUGCAAGUCGAACGGAAAGGCCCUGCUUUUGUGGGGUGCUCGAGUGGCGAACGGGUGAGUAACACGUGAGUAACCUGCCCUUGACUUUGGGAUAACUUCAGGAAACUGGGGCUAAUACCGGAUAGGAGCUCCUGCUGCAUGGUGGGGGUUGGAAAGUUUCGGCGGUUGGGGAUGGACUCGCGGCUUAUCAGCUUGUUGGUGGGGUAGUGGCUUACCAAGGCUUUGACGGGUAGCCGGCCUGGGAGGGUGACCGGCCACAUGGGGACUGAGAGACGGCCCAGACUCCUAAGGGAGGCAGCAGGGGGGAGUAUUGCACAAUGGGCGGAAGCCUGAUGCAGCAACGCCGCGUGCGGGAUGACGGCCUUCGGGUUGUAAACCGCUUUCGCCUGUGACGAAGCGUGAGUGACGGUAAUGGGUAAAGAAGCACCGGCUAACUACGUG